Molecule: ribosomal RNA, 704 nt
Filed under: uncultured Actinomycetes bacterium
Lineage: Bacteria; Bacillati; Actinomycetota; Actinomycetes
Description: bacterial SSU rRNA
Rfam family: Bacterial small subunit ribosomal RNA
Source: RNAcentral
GACGAACGCUGGCGGCGUGCUUAACACAUGCAAGUCGAGCGGAAAGGCCCUUUCGGGGGUACUCGAGCGGCGAACGGGUGAGUAACACGUGAGCAACCUGCCCUUCACUUUGGGAUAACCAUCGGAAACGGUGGCUAAUACCGGAUAUGACAUCUCCUCGCAUGGGGUGGGUGUGGAAAGUUUUUCGGUGGGGGAUGGGCUCGCGGCCUAUCAGCUUGUUGGUGGGGUGAUGGCCUACCAAGGCGACGACGGGUAGCCGGCCUGAGAGGGCGACCGGCCACACUGGGACUGAGACACGGCCCAGACUCCUACGGGAGGCAGCAGUGGGGAAUCUUGCGCAAUGGGCGGAAGCCUGACGCAGCGACGCCGCGUGAGGGAUGACGGCCUUCGGGUUGUAAACCUCUUUCAGCAGGGACGAAGCGUAAGUGACGGUACCUGCAGAAGAAGCACCGGCCAACUACGUGCCAGCAGCCGCGGUAAGACGUAGGGUGCAAGCGUUGUCCGGAUUUAUUGGGCGUAAAGAGCUCGUAGGCGGCUUGUUGCGUCGACCGUGAAAACCUACCGCUUAACGGUGGGCUUGCGGUCGAUACGGGCAGGCUAGAGUUCGGUAGGGGAGACUGGAAUUCCUGGUGUAGCGGUGAAAUGCGCAGAUAUCAGGAGGAACACCGGUGGCGAAGGCGGGUCUCUGGGCCGAUACUGACGCU